This 64-nucleotide transfer RNA is filed under the name Acanthochitona mahensis. RNAcentral's name for it is "tRNA-Pro". It matches the Rfam family "tRNA". From Rfam's summary of the family: Transfer RNA (tRNA) molecules are approximately 80 nucleotides in length. Their secondary structure includes four short double-helical elements and three loops (D, anti-codon, and T loops). Further hydrogen bonds mediate the characteristic L-shaped molecular structure. tRNAs have two regions of fundamental functional importance: the anti-codon, which is responsible for specific mRNA codon recognition, and the 3' end, to which the tRNAs corresponding amino acid is attached (by aminoacyl-tRNA synthetases). tRNAs cope with the degeneracy of the genetic code in two manners: having more than one tRNA (with a specific anti-codon) for a particular amino acid; and 'wobble' base-pairing, i.e. permitting non-standard base-pairing at the 3rd anti-codon position. Lineage: Eukaryota; Metazoa; Mollusca; Polyplacophora; Chitonida; Acanthochitonidae. The record is from RNAcentral.
CAGAUAGUAGUUUAAGUAAAAUGUUGGCAUUGGAAGCUAAUGAUCAAGUAGUCUUGCUGUCUGA